GUUGGUGGUUGUGCAGUUGCAAGAAUAUUAAUUCUUGAGGAAAGUCCGGACUCCAUAGAGGAAUAACACUGGGUAAUAACCAGCAAGACUAAUAAUCUUAGGGAAAGUGCCACAGAAAAAAAACCGCCAUUUUAUGGUAAGGGUGAAAAGGUGUGGUAAGAGCGCACCGGUAAUUUGGUAACAAAGUACGCAUGGUAAACCCUGUUAGGAGCAAGAUCAAAUAGGUGUGACAGAACCUGAGGUUCCUGAAUUUCUCUAAUCAGAUGUCACACGGGUAGAUUGCUUGAGGCUAAUAAUCAUAUUAGUCCUAGACAAAUAAUUGCAGUAGUUUUUAACUAUACAGAAUCCGGCUUAUAGACCACCUAUAAUU
This 370-nucleotide RNase P RNA is filed under the name Rickettsiaceae bacterium. RNAcentral describes it as "RNase P RNA component class A". It matches the Rfam family "Bacterial RNase P class A". From Rfam's summary of the family: Ribonuclease P (RNase P) is a ubiquitous endoribonuclease, found in archaea, bacteria and eukarya as well as chloroplasts and mitochondria. Its best characterised activity is the generation of mature 5'-ends of tRNAs by cleaving the 5'-leader elements of precursor-tRNAs. Cellular RNase Ps are ribonucleoproteins. Lineage: Bacteria; Pseudomonadati; Pseudomonadota; Alphaproteobacteria; Rickettsiales; Rickettsiaceae. The record is from RNAcentral.